CAAAAGCGUAUAUUAAAGUUGUUGCAGUUAAAAAGCUCGUAGUUGAACCUUGGGCUUGGCUGGCCGGUCCAUCUUUUUUGAUGCGUACUGGACCCAGCCGAGCCUUUCAUUCUGGCUAGCCUUUUGGCGAACCAGGACUUUUACUUUGAAAAAAUUAGAGUGUUCAAAGCAGGCCUUUGCUCGAAUAUAUUAGCAUGGAAUAAUAGAAUAGGACGUUAUGGUUCUAUUUUGUUGGUUUCUAGGACCAUCGUAAUGAUUAAUAGGGACGGUCGGGGGUAUCAGUAUUCAGUUGUCAGAGGUGAAAUUCUUGGAUUUACUGAAGACUAACUACUGCGAAAGCAUUUACCAAGGACGUUUUCAUUAA
This 364-nucleotide ribosomal RNA is filed under the name uncultured eukaryote. RNAcentral's name for it is "partial 18S ribosomal RNA". It matches the Rfam family "Eukaryotic small subunit ribosomal RNA", at positions 592 to 976 of the family's 1831-position model. The record is from RNAcentral.